UCUACGGGUGGCAGCAGUGGGGAAUAUUGGACAAUGGGCGCAAGCCUGAUCCAGCCAUGCCGCGUGUGUGAAGAAGGCCUUCGGGUUGUAAAGCACUUUCAGUGGGGAAGAAAGCCUUGGGGCUAAUACCCUCGAGGAAGGACAUCACCCACAGAAGAAGCACCGGCUAACUCCGUGCCAGCAGCCGCGGGAAUACGGAGGGUGCGAGCGUUAAUCGGAAUUACUGGGCGUAAAGCGCGCGUAGGCGGUCUGAUAAGCCGGUUGUGAAAGCCCCGGGCUCAACCUGGGAACGGCAUCCGGAACUGUCAGGCUAGAGUGCAGGAGAGGAAGGUAGAAUUCCCGGUGUAGCGGUGAAAUGCGUAGAGAUCGGGAGGAAUACCAGUGGCGAAGGCGGCCUUCUGGACUGACACUGACGCUGAGGUGCGAAAGCGUGGGUAGCAAACAGGAUUAGAUACCCCGGUAGUC
This 465-nucleotide ribosomal RNA is filed under the name Vreelandella stevensii. RNAcentral describes it as "partial 16S ribosomal RNA". It matches the Rfam family "Bacterial small subunit ribosomal RNA", at positions 338 to 795 of the family's 1533-position model. The record is from RNAcentral. Lineage: Bacteria; Pseudomonadati; Pseudomonadota; Gammaproteobacteria; Oceanospirillales; Halomonadaceae.